Molecule: non-coding RNA, 1323 nt
Organism: Parasteatoda tepidariorum (common house spider)
Lineage: Eukaryota; Metazoa; Arthropoda; Arachnida; Araneae; Theridiidae
Source: RefSeq, a predicted model, not a curated record
UUUUGUGAUUUUCCAAUUAUUUUUAGAUACAGAUGUUUCUGCUUUAUGUAAAGAAUAUUUACAAAGAACUGCCUAAUCACUUGCAUCUUAUAUUUGAACUACGACCUACUCCAAAUGUAAAAGAUUUAUCGGCAACUACGUUGGAACUUUUAUUGAAAGAAACAUUUACCAUAACACAGAUUCAAAUUGAGAAAAGUGGAAAAAGAAUCCCGAAUUCAACUACCCAGAUGGUCAUUUUAAUCCCAAAAGCUAUGUCCUUAAAGAAACUGGCAGAGCUACCUAUAAUUUUUGUCUUGAUGUACCAGCUAUAUAAAAUGAGUGUUCAUAAAGAUGUCUAAGAAUUUAUACCAUUGAUAAUGACAACUAUUACUUUACAACCCACAACUCAACAGAGGUCAUUUUAAUCCCAAAAGCUAUGUCCUUAAAGGAACUGGCAGAGCUACCUAUAAUUUUUGUCUUGAUGUACCAGCUAUAUAAAAUGAGUGUUCAUAAAGAUGUCUAAGAAUUUAUACCAUUGAUAAUGACAACUAAUACUUUACAACCCACAACUCAACAGAGGAGAAAUCCAUCUUUCAACAAAGAAGUUUAUGUUAACUUUAUGGCUGCAUAGAUAAAAACAUUAUCCUUUCUAGCUUGCCUAGUUAGAAUAUAUCAAUAUGUUGUGAAUGAACAUUCCUCACAGUUUGCUAAAGGAAGGAUAAGAUUGUUGUAUCUAUGUCCUCAAGAAGUUGCCCACUUGUGCAAAGAAUUGCUCGUAGCAGCCCGUCAUAUUUUAGCCACAGAGCUGAGAUAGCCUCUUGCUUAUAGUACUUUAGCUGAUCUUGUUCAUCAUAUGAGACAAUAUUUAUAGUUGAUGGAUCUGACUAAGGCUGUAAAUGUGCUCUCAAAAAAUGUUAAUGAUGAAUCUUUAGUAACUGCAAUUCAAACAAUGUCUUGUAAGCUUAUUCUAAAUUUAGUUGAAUGCAUUAGAAUAAGAUCUGAUCGAGAAAAUGGCAAUUUUCAGGCAAAAUUUGGUUUUCCUGCUUCUCAGGCAGUUAAUUAUAGCAUUGCAGAAUGUAGAAACUUAGUGAAAACUUUAGUAUGUUCAGCGAAAACAGUUACUUGGGGGAAUUACGGCUUGCAAGUUUUCUGGCGAUUCAAACACUAAUCCAAGUAAGCAAUACCAACCUAAAGAAACUUAUUAGGUUGAUCAAGUAUGCUCAACGAACUCUGGAUGUUUAUAAGUUAACAGUCCCUACUCCUGGACAAGCUGUUCAGCAGCAACCAAUGACGUAAGUAUUGUGUCAAUUAUAAUACUCAGGGGUCUGUCUAGGUUUUUCUGAG